RNAcentral lists this ribosomal RNA (288 nucleotides) under uncultured Bacteroidota bacterium. RNAcentral describes it as "uncultured Bacteroidetes bacterium partial 16S ribosomal RNA". It matches the Rfam family "Bacterial small subunit ribosomal RNA", at positions 28 to 310 of the family's 1533-position model. Lineage: Bacteria; Pseudomonadati; Bacteroidota. The record is from RNAcentral.
GAUGAACGCUAGCGGGAGGCUUAACACAUGCAAGUCGUGGGGCAGCAUUUGGUAGCAAUACUGAGAUGGCGACCGGCGCACGGGUGAGUAACGCGUAUGCAACCUACCCUGUACAGGGGGAUAACCCGGAGAAAUUCGGACUAAUAUCCCAUGGAAAUAUCGGAGGGCAUCUUUUGAUAUUUAAAGUUCCGGCGGUACGGGAUGGGCAUGCGUAACAUUAGCUAGUUGGUAGGGUAACGGCCUACCAAGGCUUUGAUGUUUAGGGGUCCUGAGAGGGUGAUCCCCCCA